This 408-nucleotide ribosomal RNA is filed under the name Kosicia ziegleri. RNAcentral describes it as "Chilostoma ziegleri partial 16S ribosomal RNA". The record is from RNAcentral. Lineage: Eukaryota; Metazoa; Mollusca; Gastropoda; Stylommatophora; Helicidae.
AACUAUAUGAUAUAAUAUAUAGCACUUUCUGCUCAAUGAAUUUUAAAUAGCCGCAGUACAUUGACUGUGCAAAGGUAGCAUAAUCAAUUGACCUAUAAUUGAGGUCUGGCAUGAAUGAAUAUACGGGUAAAAGCUGUCUAUAAAAUGUUAACUUAAAUUUAGUAAUUAAGUGAAAAUACUUACUGUAAUAAAAAAGACGAGAAGACCCUAGAAACUUUUAAAUAAAUUUUGUUGGGGCGACAGAAUUACAUAAAACUAAUUUUAUUAAACAUGCAACUUAUUAAAAGAUAAAGUUACUCUAGGGAUAACAGCAUAAUAAAUAAAAGUUUGUGACCUCGAUGUUGGACUAGGUAUGGCUAUUUUUAGAAGAAAUUGCUUUAAGCUCUGUUCGAGCUGCGAAACCUACAU